AUCGACGAAAAGAUGGGAGCUUGCUCCCUGAUCUUAGCGGCGGACGGGUGAGUACCACGUGGGCAACCUGCCCUGCAGACUGGGAUAACUCCGGGAAACCGGAGCUAAUACCGGGUAAUACAUCGCACCGCAUGGUGCAAUGUUGAAAGUUGGCUUUCGAGCUAACACUGCAGGAUGGGCCCGCGGCGCAUUAGCUAGUUGGUAAGGUAAUGGCUUACCAAGGCGACGAUGCGUAGCCGACCUGAGAGGGUGAUCGGCCACACUGGGACUGAGACACGGCCCAGACUCCUACGGGAGGCAGCAGUAGGGAAUCUUCCGCAAUGGACGAAAGUCUGACGGAGCAACGCCGCGUGAGUGACGAAGGCCUUCGGGUCGUAAAGCUCUGUUGUUAGGGAAGAACAAGUACCGUUCGAAUAGGGCGGUACCUUGACGGUACCUAACCAGAAAGCCACGGCUAACUACGUGCCAGCAGCCGCGGUAAUACGUAGGUGGCAAGCGUUGUCCGGAAUUAUUGGGCGUAAAGCGCGCGCAGGCGGUCUUUUAAGUCUGAUGUGAAAGCCCACGGCUCAACCGUGGAGGGUCAUUGGAAACUGGAGGACUUGAGUGCAGAAGAGGAGAGUGGAAUUCCACGUGUAGCGGUGAAAUGCGUAGAUAUGUGGAGGAACACCAGUGGCGAAGGCGGCUCUCUGGUCUGUAACUGACGCUGAGGCGCGAAAGCGUGGGGAGCAAACAGGAUUAGAUACCCUGGUAGUCCACGCCGUAAACGAUGAGUGCUAGGUGUUGGGGGGUUCCACCCUCAGUGCUGAAGUUAACACAUUAAGCACUCCGCCUGGGGAGUACGACCGCAAGGUUGAAACUCAAAGGAAUUGACGGGGGCCCGCACAAGCAGUGGAGCAUGUGGUUUAAUUCGAAGCAACGCGAAGAACCUUACCAGGUCUUGACAUCCUCUGACAAUCCUGGAGACAGGACGUUCCCCUUCGGGGGACAGAGUGACAGGUGGUGCAUGGUUGUCGUCAGCUCCUGUCGUGAAAGUAG
This 1035-nucleotide ribosomal RNA is filed under the name Alkalihalobacillus sp. RNAcentral describes it as "bacterial SSU rRNA". It matches the Rfam family "Bacterial small subunit ribosomal RNA", at positions 61 to 1077 of the family's 1533-position model. The record is from RNAcentral. Lineage: Bacteria; Bacillati; Bacillota; Bacilli; Caryophanales; Bacillaceae.